CGGGGGUACACGAGUGGCGAACGGGUGAGUAACACGUGGGUGACCUGCCCUGUACUUCGGGAUAAGCCUGGGAAACUGGGUCUAAUACCGGAUAUGACCUUCUCCUGCAUGGGGGUUGGUGGAAAGCUUUUGCGGUACAGGAUGGGCCCGCGGCCUAUCAGCUUGUUGGUGGGGUAAUGGCCUACCAAGGCGACGACGGGUAGCCGGCCUGAGAGGGCGACCGGCCACACUGGGACUGARACACGGCCCARACUCCUACGGGAGGCAGCAGUGGGGAAUAUUGCACAAUGGGCGCAAGCCUGAUGCAGCGACGCCGCGUGAGGGAUGACGGCCUUCGGGUUGUAAACCUCUUUCAGUAGGGACGAAGCGCAAGUGACGGUACCUACAGAAGAAGCACCGGCCAACUACGUGCCAGCAGCCGCGGUAAUACGUAGGGUGCAAGCGUUGUCCGGAAUUACUGGGCGUAAAGAGCUCGUAGGCGGUUUGUCACGUCGUCUGUGAAAAACCCGAGGCUUAACCUCGGGCCUGCAGGCGAUACGGGCAGACUUGAGUACUGUAGGGGAGACUGGAAUUCCUGGUGUAGCGGUGGAAUGCGCAGAUAUCAGGAGGAACACCGGUGGCGAAGGCGGGUCUCUGGGCAGUAACUGACGCUGAGGAGCGAAAGCGUGGGUAGCGAACAGGAUUAGAUACCCUGGUAGUCCACGCCGUAAACGGUGGGUACUAGUGUGGGUUUCCUUCCACGGGAUCCGUGCCGUAGCUAACGCAUUA
This 768-nucleotide ribosomal RNA is filed under the name Tsukamurella strandjordii. RNAcentral's name for it is "bacterial SSU rRNA". It matches the Rfam family "Bacterial small subunit ribosomal RNA", at positions 82 to 862 of the family's 1533-position model. The record is from RNAcentral. Lineage: Bacteria; Bacillati; Actinomycetota; Actinomycetes; Mycobacteriales; Tsukamurellaceae.